CUCUGGACAUUGAACAUAGAAUAACUUCACAAUCACAAUUAAUGAAUGGCUACUUUUUUAUUUUGAAUUUAUUGAACCAUAAAAUUAUUUUUUGACUCUUCACAGCCACAAAUAAGGCUCAAAGAACGUUUGUAUAUUAUUUAUAUUAACAAUAACAACGAACACACAUGUUGGCGUAUAAAUACACGUCAGAGUGGGCAUGUCGCCAUAAAAAUUGACAACAUUGAUUAUAAAACUUAAUCUUUUAACCAAUCAGAAAACAGAAAAUACACCAAAUUUGUUUAUUACAUAAUGAAGGGUCUGCAUCUCAAAUGUUAAUAACAGAUCUUAUUCAUCAUCAUGGGUUUACAUUAAUCUUUGAGGAAGUCCUCACUUUUCACAGGAAAAGAUCGUUUAUAACAUAAUUAGUUACUAUAAACUUUAUAUGCUCUGUUCAAACAAACAAAAAAUAAAGGUCUUAUCUCGAAUGAAAUCUUAUAUACAUUUAUCAAAUCUCUCAUUGGAAAAAAACUUGCUCAAUAGCUUUGCAGGAAGUCAGUUUCUUCACAGGAAUAUAUUUUUGUAUAAAAUAGUUACUUUGGACUAAGGAUUAGUUCAAAAUAGUGAAACAGUGAUAAGUCCUCAUCUGAAUGAAAAGAUCAUAAAAAGCAUGGCAGGAAGAGAUUUAUUCUUAUCUUUGAACUUUGGACUUUGAUCAGUGCAAUACAUUUGUAAUUCAAACACAACGAUUGCUCUCCAUCUGUAUGAUAAAAUGCACACAUGGAUUUAACCAAUGCAAACAUUAAGCUGUCAUUAGGCUAAGAACUAUUAAGGUCAACAAUGACAGCCAUCUUUGAUUUUUAAUGUGUACAAAUGUAAGAAAUGUACCAAC
This 871-nucleotide long non-coding RNA is filed under the name Mytilus galloprovincialis (Mediterranean mussel). The record is from RNAcentral. Lineage: Eukaryota; Metazoa; Mollusca; Bivalvia; Mytilida; Mytilidae.